RNAcentral lists this ribosomal RNA (440 nucleotides) under uncultured bacterium. RNAcentral's name for it is "bacterial SSU rRNA". It matches the Rfam family "Bacterial small subunit ribosomal RNA", at positions 340 to 774 of the family's 1533-position model. The record is from RNAcentral.
UACGGAAGGCAGCGGUGGGGAAUAUUGCACAAUGGGCGCAAGCCUGAUGCAGCCAUGCCGCGUGUAUGAAGAAGGCCUUCGGGUUGUAAAGUACUUUCAGUCGUGAGGAAGGUGUUAAGGUUAAUAACCUUAGCAAUUGACGUUAGCGACAGAAGAAGCACCGGCUAACUCCGUGCCAGCAGCCGCGGUAAUACGGAGGGUGCGAGCGUUAAUCGGAAUUACUGGGCGUAAAGGGCACGCAGGCGGUUAAUUAAGUUGGAUGUGAAAUCCCCGGGCUUAACCUGGGAAUGGCAUUCAAGACUGGUUAGCUAGAGUCUUGUAGAGGGGGUAGAAUUCCAUGUGUAGCGGUGAAAUGCGUAGAGAUGUGGAGGAAUACCGGUGGCGAAGGCGGCCCCUGGACAAAGACUGACGCUCAUGUGCGAAAGCGUGGGGAGCAAACG